RNAcentral lists this long non-coding RNA (215 nucleotides) under Elaeis guineensis (African oil palm). RNAcentral's name for it is "long non-coding RNA (EGUI_LNC008799)". The record is from RNAcentral. Lineage: Eukaryota; Viridiplantae; Streptophyta; Magnoliopsida; Arecales; Arecaceae.
UGAGUCAGAUUCUGAUUAGAUGUUUCAGCCCUUUCUCCGGGUAAUUCGGGCUCCUUCGGAUCCUCAGGGACAGUGCAUUCUAUAAUAAAGUUGGUCAAGGCCUAGGCUUUGAUGGAAGGUUGAGGUUUGAACUCCACCCCAUACUCCACAAGCUUAAUUGCCCAGUUGGCCAACUAUCCUAAAGUAUCGAGACGAUGCAAUGCUGUCUUCAAGGG